Molecule: ribosomal RNA, 450 nt
Filed under: uncultured bacterium
Lineage: Bacteria
Description: partial 16S ribosomal RNA
Rfam family: Bacterial small subunit ribosomal RNA
Source: RNAcentral
GUGGGGAAUAUUCCGCAAUGGACGAAAGUCUGACGGAGCAACGCCGCGUGAGUGAUGAAGGUUUUCGGACUGUAAAGCUCUGUUGUUUAGGACGAAAGUGCCUGUUGCAAAUAGUUACAGGUAUUGACGGUACUGAACGAGGAAGCCACGGCUAACUACGUGCCAGCAGCCGCGGUAAUACGUAGGUGGCAAGCGUGGUCCGGAAUUAUUGGGCGUAAACAGCAUGUAGGCGGGAAUCUAAGUCUGUUGUGAAAAUGCGGGGCUCAACCCCGUAUUGCGAUGGAAACUGGGUUUCUUGAGUGCAGGAGAGGAAAGGGGAAUUCCCAGUGUAGCGGUGAAAUGCGUAGAUAUUGGGAGGAACACCAGUGGCGAAGGCGCCUUUCUGGACUGUGUCUGACGCUGAGAUGCGAAAGCCAGGGUAGCGAACGGGAUUAGAAACCCUAGUAGUCC